UACAGAGGGUGCAAGCGUUAAUCGGAAUUACUGGGCGUAAAGCGUGCGUAGUCGGCUUUUUAAGUCGGGUGUGAAAUCCCCGGGCUCAACCUGGGAAUUGCAUUCGAUACUGGAUCGCUAGAGUUCGGCAGAGGGAAGCGGAAUUUCGGGUGUAGCGGUGAAAUGCGCAGAUAUCAGGAAGAACACCCGUGGCGAAAGCGGCUCUCUGGAACGGUACUGACGCUGAGACGCGAAAGCGUGGGGAGCGAACAGG
Molecule: ribosomal RNA, 253 nt
Filed under: uncultured bacterium
Lineage: Bacteria
Description: partial 16S ribosomal RNA
Rfam family: Bacterial small subunit ribosomal RNA
Source: RNAcentral